Molecule: ribosomal RNA, 447 nt
Filed under: uncultured bacterium
Lineage: Bacteria
Description: partial 16S ribosomal RNA
Rfam family: Bacterial small subunit ribosomal RNA
Source: RNAcentral
AACGAACGCUGGCGGCAGGCUUAACACAUGCAAGUCGAGCGCCCCGCAAGGGGAGCGGCAGACGGGUGAGUAACGCGUGGGAAUCUACCGUGCCCUACGGAAUAACGCAUGGAAACGUGUGCUAAUACCGUAUACGCCCUACGGGGGAAAGAUUUAUCGGGGUAUGAUGAGCCCGCGUUGGAUUAGCUAGUUGGUGGGGUAAAGGCCUACCAAGGCGACGAUCCAUAGCUGGUCUGAGAGGAUGAUCAGCCACAUUGGGACUGAGACACGGCCCAAACGCCUACGGGAGGAAGCAGUGGGGAAUAUUGGACAAUGGGCGCAAGCCUGAUCCAGCCAUGCCGCGUAAGUGAUAAAGGUCUUAGGAUUGUAAAGCUCUUUCACCGGUGAAGAUAAUGACGGUAACCGGAGAAGAAGCCCCGGCUAACUGCGAGCCAGCAGCCGCCGUAA